This 460-nucleotide ribosomal RNA is filed under the name uncultured bacterium. Its description in RNAcentral is "partial 16S ribosomal RNA". It matches the Rfam family "Bacterial small subunit ribosomal RNA", at positions 338 to 795 of the family's 1533-position model. The record is from RNAcentral.
CCUACGGGAGGCAGCAGUGAGGAAUAUUGGUCAAUGGCCGUAAGGCUGAACCAGCCAAGUCGCGUGAAGGAAGAAGGAUCUAUGGUUUGUAAACUUCUUUUAUAGGGGAAUAAAGGUAUCCACGUGUGGAUAUUUGCAUGUACCCUAUGAAUAAGCAUCGGCUAACUCCGUGCCAGCAGCCGCGGUAAUACGGAGGAUGGCAGCGUUAUCCGGAUUUGGUGGGUUUAAAGGGUGCGUAGGUUGUUUUUUAAGUCAGCGGUGAAAGUUUGUGGCUCAACCAUAAAAUUGCCGUUGAAACUGGAAGACGUGAGUGUGUUUGAGGUAGGCGGAAUGCGUGGUGUAGCGGUGAAAUGCAUAGAUAUCACGCAGAACUCCGAUUGCGAAGGCAGCUUACUAAGCCAUAACUGACACUGAAGCACGAAAGCGUGGGGAUCAAACAGGAUUAGAUACCCCUGUAGUC